UACGAAGGGGGCUAGCGUUGUUCGGAAUUACUGGGCGUAAAGCGUGCGCAGGCGGCCUUCCAAGUCAGGGGUGAAAGCCCAGAGCUCAACUCUGGAAUUGCCUUUGAGACUGUGAGGCUUGAGUACGGGAGAGGUGAGUGGAAUUCCCAGUGUAGAGGUGAAAUUCGUAGAUAUUGGGAAGAACACCGGUGGCGAAGGCGGCUCACUGGCCCGAAACUGACGCUCAUGCACGACAGCGUGGGGGAUCAAACAGG
This 254-nucleotide ribosomal RNA is filed under the name uncultured bacterium. RNAcentral describes it as "partial 16S ribosomal RNA". It matches the Rfam family "Bacterial small subunit ribosomal RNA", at positions 524 to 776 of the family's 1533-position model. The record is from RNAcentral.